AGGACGAACGCUGGCGGCGUGCUUAACACAUGCAAGUCGAGCGAUGAAGCUUCUUCGGAAGUGGAUAGCGGCGGACGGGUGAGUAACACGUGGGUAACCUGCCUCAUAGAGGGGAAUAGCCUUCCGAAAGGAAGAUUAAUACCGCAUAAGAUUGUAAUAUCGCAUGAUAUAGCAAUUAAAGGAGUAAUCCGCUAUGAGAUGGACCCGCGUCGCAUUAGCUAGUUGGUGAGGUAACGGCUCACCAAGGCGACGAUGCGUAGCCGACCUGAGAGGGUGAUCGGCCACAUUGGGACUGAGACACGGCCCAGACUCCUACGGGAGGCAGCAGUGGGGAAUAUUGCACAAUGGGGGAAACCCUGAUGCAGCCAACGCCGCGUGAGUGAUGACGGUCUUCGGAUUGGUAAAGCUCUGUCUUCAGGGACGAUAAUGACGGUACCUGAGGAGGAAGCCACGGCUAACUACGUGCCAGCCGCUGC
Molecule: ribosomal RNA, 476 nt
Filed under: uncultured bacterium
Lineage: Bacteria
Description: bacterial SSU rRNA
Rfam family: Bacterial small subunit ribosomal RNA
Source: RNAcentral